CCAGGAGUCUCACAACUCUCCACCCUUGUGUGUACCAGUAGUCUUGGUUGCUUCGGCGGCGCGCCGGCCCAGCGCCGGCCGCCGCCGGGGGGACUCUUAAUAAACGCUUGCGAAAUCGGAAUGUCUGAGUAUACAAACAAAUAGUUA
This 147-nucleotide unclassified non-coding RNA is filed under the name uncultured fungus. RNAcentral describes it as "sequence contains ITS1". The record is from RNAcentral. Lineage: Eukaryota; Fungi.